This 403-nucleotide ribosomal RNA is filed under the name uncultured bacterium. Its description in RNAcentral is "bacterial SSU rRNA". It matches the Rfam family "Bacterial small subunit ribosomal RNA", at positions 362 to 757 of the family's 1533-position model. The record is from RNAcentral.
UUUUGGACAAUGGGGGCAACCCUGAUCCAGCAAUGCCGCGUGAGUGAAGAAGGCCUUCGGGUUGUAAAGCUCUUUUGUCAGGGAAGAAACGGUGGGGGCUAAUAUCCUUUGCUAAUGACGGUACCUGAAGAAUAAGCACCGGCUAACUACGUGCCAGCAGCCGCGGUAAUACGUAGGGUGCAAGCGUUAAUCGGAAUUACUGGGCGUAAGGCGUGCGCAGGCGGUCGUGCGAGACAGAUGUGAAAUCCCCGGGCUCAACCUGGGAAUUGCAUUUGUGACUGCACGGCUAGAGUGUGUCAGAGGGGGGUAGAAUUCCACGUGUAGCAGUGAAAUGCGUAGAUAUGUGGAGGAAUACCGAUGGCGAAGGCAGCCCCCUGGGAUAACACUGACGCUCAUGCACGAA